UGUAAUGAUUCGCUCAAGCUUUAAAUUGUAAUUAUACAGGGCGGGUUUUAGGUUGUGUUUUCCUCGUGCAGGAAGGGAGGUCUACGUGAAGCGUAAACGUUCUGGUCGGGAUUUGAAUAAGGGAGAGUUCUCAGGGUUGCCGAGGUACUGGUAGAAUGGUAAUUUCAACGACGGUGAUAAACUCGACCAUACGUUGGGCUAACAGGAAUGGAUUACGGAAUGGGAUUGCGGAAGGACUACAACGACGGUGAUAGACUCGACCAUACGCUGAAGCAAUUAGAUGGAAUCGGGUUGUUAUUUGCGGGGUUGAUGCAGCGACGGUGAUAUACUCGACCAUACGCUGAAUCGGAAUCUGGAAGGGUGGUAGAAAGAACAAUGUUGCAGGAUCUGGGAUCUGCUUUCCAUUUGACUGUGCUCUUGUUUAUAUACACCUUACCGUUGUAGUGGGGUAAGGAUAGUGGCAGGGAUAUCUGCGCAGUCAAAUGUUUAUAUGGAGUGCUCCUGCCCUCUCUUGUCCAAAAUUCGCAUAAUUUUUAAAAGAUUUUAUACGAAAUCUGAAUUAUAAAAUUACUGAAUUUUUAAUCC
Molecule: long non-coding RNA, 585 nt
Organism: Photinus pyralis (common eastern firefly)
Lineage: Eukaryota; Metazoa; Arthropoda; Insecta; Coleoptera; Lampyridae
Exons: 3
Source: RefSeq, a predicted model, not a curated record